AAGUCGUAACAAGGUUUCCGUAGGUGAACCUGCGGAAGGAUCAUUAAAAAAAAUUCAGUAAAAAAGUAAGGUAAGUGGCCUUCCCACAAAGAAGCGGCGUGAGGGGGGGAAUCGUGAGAUCGAGGGUGGAGCACGACUCUGAGUAGCGAGUAUCCCUACCACCAUUACUCUCUUGCAUCAAGAGAUGUCCCCGGGAGAGGUGUACCCCUUGCUUGCUCUCUUACAAAUAUCCCUUGCAGCCGCUGCCAUGUGGGUUGGCCAUCAUCCCUAUAUUACUUUUUGAAUUUAAAAACCCCCACUGUGCACUUAUUGAAAAGACCACCCAGAAAGAAAAAUUUAUUUUUCUUUAACCUAUUGCCUGAAUUUUGACUGAUCUUAUUAAAACAAAUCAAAUACAACUUUCAACAACGGAUCUCUUGGCUCUC
Molecule: unclassified non-coding RNA, 425 nt
Filed under: fungal sp.
Lineage: Eukaryota; Fungi
Description: partial internal transcribed spacer region
Rfam family: Eukaryotic small subunit ribosomal RNA (bases 1-46)
Source: RNAcentral